AGCGUAGGCGGACAUUUAAGUCAGGGGUGAAAUCCCGGGGCUCAACCUCGGAAUUGCCUUUGAUACUGGGUGUCUUGAGUAUGAGAGAGGUGUGUGGAACUCCGAGUGUAGAGGUGAAAUUCGUAGAUAUUCGGAAGAACACCAGUGGCGAAGGCGACACACUGGCUCAUUACUGACGCUGAGGCUCGAGAACGUGGGGAGCAAACA
This 207-nucleotide ribosomal RNA is filed under the name uncultured bacterium. RNAcentral's name for it is "partial 16S ribosomal RNA". It matches the Rfam family "Bacterial small subunit ribosomal RNA", at positions 568 to 774 of the family's 1533-position model. The record is from RNAcentral.